GUGGGGAAUAUUGGACAAUGGGCGAAAGCCUGAUCCAGCCAUGCCGCGUGUGUGAAGAAGGUCUUCGGAUUGUAAAGCACUUUAAGUUGGGAGGAAGGGCAGUAAGUUAAUACCUUGCUGUUUUGACGUUACCAACAGAAUAAGCACCGGCUAACUUCGUGCCAGCAGCCGCGGUAAUACGAAGGGUGCAAGCGUUAAUCGGAAUUACUGGGCGUAAAGCGCGCGUAGGUGGUUCAGCAAGUUGAAGGUGAAAUCCCCGGGCUCAACCUGGGAACUGCCUCCAAAACUACUGGGCUAGAGUACGGUAGAGGGUAGUGGAAUUUCCUGUGUAGCGGUGAAAUGCGUAGAUAUAGGAAGGAACACCAGUGGCGAAGGCGACUACCUGGACUGAUACUGACACUGAGGUGCGAAAGCGUGGGGAGCAAACAGGAUUAGAAACCCGAGUAGUCC
This 450-nucleotide ribosomal RNA is filed under the name uncultured bacterium. RNAcentral's name for it is "partial 16S ribosomal RNA". It matches the Rfam family "Bacterial small subunit ribosomal RNA", at positions 354 to 796 of the family's 1533-position model. The record is from RNAcentral.